Molecule: long non-coding RNA, 629 nt
Organism: Callithrix jacchus (white-tufted-ear marmoset)
Lineage: Eukaryota; Metazoa; Chordata; Mammalia; Primates; Cebidae
Source: RefSeq, a predicted model, not a curated record
UGCCCAAGAGCAGGAGGCUCAGCUCAUCAGGCCAAUUGGGCCACGGGCUACCAGGAGGCUAGCAUUCACAGAGUAAAGGGUGGUGGACAAGAAGAACGCUACCACGGUGAGGGUGUGCAAGGGAUGUGGGAAUUUGAGUCCUAGUCCCUUUAACUAGAGGGAGGUUUGUGACACCGCAGACAGGAGCAGUGGUGAGGGAGAAGCUGGCUGGCCCCCAUCGAGAGGAUGCCACACAGGACAUGGAUGAAAGUGGAAGCUGUCAUUCUCAGCAAACCAACACAAGAACAGAAAACUAAACAGCGCAUGUUCUCACUCAUAAGUGGGAGCUGAACAAUGCUGCCGUAAAGAAGACUACAAACUGGGGUCUUCAACACCAGCUCUGGAAGCUAGAAGUCUAAGAUCAAGGUUUCAGCAAUGUUGGUUCCCUCUGAGGCUAUGAGGGAAGGCUCUGUUCCAGGCCUCUCUUCCUGUGUCUUCAUGUUAUCUUCCUGCUAUUCAUGUUGGUCUCUGUGUCCAAAUUUCCUCUUUUUUAAAAAAAUAAAAUCUCAACAGAAUUUGUUGAAUAACUUCACUUGGAAACUUACAUGAAGAACCGAUGUCCUUAAAGAAUGAAUAAAUAAUGAAUUCCA